This is a long non-coding RNA of Thalassophryne amazonica, 182 nucleotides long. RefSeq lists it as uncharacterized. The transcript has 2 exons. Lineage: Eukaryota; Metazoa; Chordata; Actinopteri; Batrachoidiformes; Batrachoididae. The record is from RefSeq and is a predicted model, not a curated record.
ACCAUGAACGUCCUUCAAACUGCAAUCUGCUGCUUCUUCUUCUUCACAGCUCUGUGCGGUCGACACAGUGACAUCAUCACUGCACAAGAGGUCCAUUCUGGAAGAGAAGGAGAAGAUAUCACAGUUGGAUGUAGAUUUUAUUGCCCUGGAAGGAGGAAGUUAAUCUGCAGAGAAACAUGUGA